UGAAGCAAUUCCGGGUGCGAC
This 21-nucleotide non-coding RNA is filed under the name Arabidopsis thaliana (thale cress). Lineage: Eukaryota; Viridiplantae; Streptophyta; Magnoliopsida; Brassicales; Brassicaceae. The record is from RNAcentral.